RNAcentral lists this long non-coding RNA (4352 nucleotides) under Nicotiana benthamiana. RNAcentral describes it as "long non-coding RNA (NBEN_LNC025195)". Lineage: Eukaryota; Viridiplantae; Streptophyta; Magnoliopsida; Solanales; Solanaceae. The record is from RNAcentral.
UACCCAAGGGUAGGGGUAAGGUCUGCGUACAUAUUACCCUCCCCAGACCCCACUAAGUGGGAUUAUAUUGGGUUGUUGUUGUUGUUGUUGUAAUAUAUAGUACCUUGUUUUUAUUUUUUUAUCUUUUAUUUUUGUUGGUGAAUUUUUCUAGUAUAUUUAUUUAGUAAUUUUGUAGUGGUUCUUCCACCAUAUUAUUUUAGUCAAUUUUGGAAUAUGAUUAUUCGACUUAUUAUUUAUUUCAAAUUCAGUUAUUAUACUUUGUAAGAGAUUUGAAUUACUGUUUAACUAAUUUAGUAAUUUCAAGGCCUUGUAAUUAAAAUUCUAUAUAACCGGCAAUUUUUUUUGCUUAAUAAAUUUUGCUUCUUGGAAUGGUGGAGACACUAAAAUUGUAGGUCAUAAUACUUUUUAUCUUUAUUUCUGUUGUGGUUAUAUAUUUUGUUAGUAUUGCUUUAUACUUUAAUUAUCAUAUAAAAAGGGAUGAUUUAUGUAAUGCCUAUUUUUUGCGUCCACAAAAUUAUUGAGUGAACCUAGUUUCACUCAAUUUUGGAGUAUGAAUAUUCAACCUAUUAUUUAUUUCAAAUUCAGUUAUUAUAUUUUGUAAGAUAUUUGAAUUACUGCUUAACUAAUUUACUAUUAAGGCCUUGUAUUGGUAUUAGUUUAUUUUAAUAUUAAAAUUAUAAUAUUAAAGUGCAUUAUUUCCGGUGAAAUAGUGAUUAUCAAUUGGAAAGAAAGUGAUUAUUAUUUUGGUGUAACUAUUGAAACCAUUAAUAUCAUGAUCUACCACUAAUUACCCACUAAAAUUUAAAUUCUGUAACCAACAAUCAUGUUCUACAUUUAUUAUCUCACUACUUUGUUAUUUAUUCUAUGGAAGAAAUUUUACACCUAUUCUAUGGAAGAAAUUUUACACCUAUAGAUAGCGGUGUUACUUCCUUGUGUUGUUGAUGCGAAAAUGUUAGUGUGCAUGAAAAAAAGUAAAAUUGGUGUAGUAAAAGAGAGAGUUAAGCAAAGGAGAAAAAUCUAAUUCUCCAACUUAUUAUCUACAAAAAAAUAUUAUUUUGUUGAAUGAAGGUUAUCAUCUUGGUGGAGCUUUGGACUCAACAACUUGUCCAGGGUUUCUUCGAGUCAUACAAUGUUAUUGGGCUGUUGUAUCCUAAAAGGAACAACUCAAGAAUAUUAGGCUGGACCGGUAAAAAUGCUAUCUCAGUGGACUUGAAUCUCAAAAACCCUCGGAUUGGUGCUUUAACAUUUUCAAUAGGUUCAUAUGAUGAGUUUGAACUUAUACAUAUGUUUGGUUGGGGUCACGGGUGUCUCGAGGUCGUUUCGGUGCUUCUAGUUAAUAAGUCAAAAUUUGAUUUUAUGAAAAUUUGAAAAUCCUUGAGUUUUGAUGCAUGAUUAUUGAUUUUAGAUGUUAUUUUUAUGUUUUUUUAAUUUUUCGAGUGAGUUUGUGUAAGGUUUAUAAAUUUAUUAAGAUAUUUGAACGGGGCCCAAGGGGCUCAAAUGAGUUUUGGAUUGGCUUUAAGCAUUUUCUCUGAGUUUUGCUAUUGUUGGUGCUACAUGUAUCGCACCUGACCAGGUGCGACGUCUCUCCUGUGAUGGUUGUUUGGCAUGAAUGAGGGGAGGUCAGUCAGGUGUUGCACCAGGUGCAAGUAUGAACAUCAUAAAUCAGGUGGUUUUGCUCAGAGGUUAAUUAUGCUGGAGUAGAAAAUGAGAGUGCAUUACUAUGGACUUUGGAAAUUUUGAUGUUAUUUGGUUUAUUUUGGACGGACUGGCCAAAUAUGCACAUUUCAUUCCAGUAAUGACUUAUUACAUUUUAUGGAAGUUAGCUCAUAUUUGUAUCAGAGAGAUUGUUCAUUUGCACAAUGUGGCCACUCUAUCAUUUUAAACCUUGGUACCUAGUUCACAUUGCACUAUUGGAAAGUUAUUCAGUGGAGUUGGACACGCAAAUGGAUCUCAACAUUGUAUUCCACCCAUAGAUGAUCAGUCUAAGCGGUAUAUUCAGAUCACUGGGGAUGUGUUGAGAGCUUAUGAUAUUGAUUUUGGAGGCCUUUUGAAUCAGUUUCUACCAUAUUGAUAGAGUUUACUUGUAAUAACAACUAUCAGUCCAACAUUUAAAUAGCGUUGUAUGAGACUUUAUAUGGUAGGCGGUUUUGUUUUCCUAUUAACUGGUUUGGGUUUGUUGAGUCUAGAAUGUUGGGUACAUAUUUGAUCUAUGAUGCUUUAGUAUAUCUCCUAAAGAUUUUAAAUGUUCUUGUUGUUCAAAUUUAAGGAAAGGGAGACUGAAACUGAUAAGAAAUAGAUUAAUGUUGUUGAAUGGCAUAACAUACGCAAGAUUCACAGACUAUUGAAAAGAAACAACAAGCAGACUCAUUCACAACUUUGCUCAAAUAAUGUUGAAGUUGGUUAAAAGGAGGCAAAAAGGAAUAUAAAUAGUGUCUACUUCUUCCUCACUUGCUUCCAUAUUUACAUUCUCAUCUUAAACUAUUGGGUUAGGUUAUAAAUAUUUGUGUUUCUGAUCAUUUUGUGCAAAAAUAAACGAAUAUUAUCUUUGGAUCCUACAACUUCUUCAAUUAUAGUAUUCAAUUCAACAUGGUUCAUUUUUAAUCUCUAUUUUUGUUCCUUUUAGCAUUGAAAUAAUCGAGCAACUUAUUGAGAAAACCUAAGGCCUAGAAAAUGAUAUAUGACAAAUUAUUAUACCUUUUAAUUUUUUGGCAUGUAUUAAGUGCUCAUAUAUAUUAUUUUUGGUCUUUGUUUCUGCCUCAAUAGUGAAGGAAAAAGAAUCAUUUAUGAUGCCAUUUUUUAGAAGCUCAAGUCUCCUCCAUAAGCUGAUAUAAGUUGUGGGUAUCUCAUGCAGUUUAUACGUCAACUGAAGGGCUGUUUUUCUGAGGUUUGAGCUUGCUCGACAAGACAAGAGGGGUUGCUCUGAUGGUAAGCAACUCCCACUUCCAACCGAGAGGUUGUGAGUNNNNNNNNNNNNNNNNNNNNNNNNNNNNNNNNNNNNNNNNNNNNNNNNNNNNNNNNNNNNNNNNNNNNNNNNNNNNNNNNNNNNNNNNUCCACUUCCAACCGACAGGUUGUGUGUUCGAGUCUCCCCAAGAGCAAGGUGGGAAGUUCUUGGAGGGAAUGAUGCCGAGGGUCUAUUUGGAAACAGCCUCUCUACCCAAGGGUAGGGGUAAGGUCUGCGUACACACUAUCCUCCCAGACCCCACUAGGUAGGAUUAUACUGGGUUGUUGUUGUUGUUGUUGAGCUUGCUCGACAAGCUGUCACCACUUCAAAUUGAAGCUCUUGGUUUUGCCCUCCGAGAAUCACUAAAACUUGACUCAUGAAAACGAAGGUCUUUCCAUUCUGAAUUCCUUAUCUACUGCAAUUUAAGCCAUAUCUCAAGGUAAUCUGUUUCAUAUUUCAUUUAUUUUCUAGUUAUGUAACUGCUAUUGAAGGUGCAGAAAUACCAAGUAUAACUUAGCAAAAUCAGCAGAUACCAAUAUCUCCAAUAUCUAUUAGUUUACAUCUGAAGGUGCAGAAAUACCAAGGUGUAACUUAGCAAAAUCAGCAGAUACCGAUAUCUCCAAAAUCUAUUAGUUUACAUUGAUUCUUUAUCGUAUUUGGUGGUAGAUGCGUAAACUUGUUUUAAAGUUCUUAUGGAACAUCAUAAGACCAUAUGUUUAUUAUUUUGUAUUUCUAUUCACAACUUUGGAGAUUAAAAACACCCCCGUUUCAGAUGUUUACAGAGUAACACCUUUCUUAUAUACUUACCUGCAUGUGCUUUCUGUUGAUAUGAAGGAAAUAAAAUCUCUCUCUGGUGUAUUUAUCUAAACUCACUUUCUUCUCUUUGUUUGUUUGCCUCUGAAUAUCCAAAAGAACAUUAAAAUUUAUGGUAUAUUAUGCUCAUUAGUUGGUUACAGCACGAACAACUGAGAUAUUCAUUAAAAACAAACAGUAUUGCAAAUGAUUUGAUAAAAUAUUAAGAUUCCUGCCAUUCCCAAAUUGAUUGAUGUUGAUUUAAGAACCACAAAAAAAUAAGAAUUUCAGCUCUGUUUAUCAAUGCCUAAAUCUUACCAAAUAUUGGAAGAAAGUGAUAUAACAUUUGGAAGUAGAACAAAGCUGGACACUCUUCUAUGCCUUUUGUUCAAAGAUUGAUAUAGCAACCAAAUUAGAACUUUUUUGGUUGGAUUUAUUUUAUUUUGUGAAAUCACUGAAAUUUGUCUUUACUAACUAAUAUGUUAUGCAAAGAAAUUAACUUUUUCAGUAGCAUGUUUGCAUGUUUUAAAAAAGGUAAAAGGGCUCAAUUUUUGUCUAAUAGGAAUAUGUUCUUCAUAGACACAGAGAACAUUAGUAGCUGGCCUUUAUAUACUCUUU